Magnolia sinica is the source of this 694-nucleotide long non-coding RNA. RefSeq lists it as uncharacterized. Lineage: Eukaryota; Viridiplantae; Streptophyta; Magnoliopsida; Magnoliales; Magnoliaceae. The transcript is spliced from 5 exons. The record is from RefSeq and is a predicted model, not a curated record.
UCAGAAUCACUCGUCUUUAAGGCCCCCACCAUGGACGGUCGGCCAUGCUAGACUCGCCCUGUUGGGUUGAUGACUUUUCGCUUCUCGAUGAUGAAUCUCCUGCCAUUUCAUCGUCAUCCGUCCAUUUGCAUAGGGUGUAAGGGUCGGACGAAUCAUAUAAUCCAUGGUGCCUUCCACGGUUCAGGACACUCGAUUAACAGCUCCAAUCAGGAUCUCAAGAAGAUCCAGCGUCAUCGGCUCGCCCAACCCCGGCCUUGGGACUUCUCUCACUUCCAUUUCUGAUCCUCUUUUUAUUUUAUUUUUCUCCUGUUGAUUCGUUGGAUUCUUGAAGUUUCUGAAAAAGAAUUAGAAUAAAACAGGAAAGUCAAGCGAGUGGACGGGAUGAGGUACCUGCAAAUGCACAGGCAGGGCCUUCAUCAGGGAGGAAGCCGCGGAAGCCCCACAGGUUCAGGCUGGGGACUGUGGCUCUUUGGGAGAUACGGAAGUAUCAGUCCUGUGAGCUGUUGAUACCCACAGCUACUUUCAUUCGAUGCGUGGGUAAGGGAGCUAACUGCUUUCUAUUCUAGGGGAGUUAAUUAUUGGAUGGCUGAAGCUUUAGUAGCAAUCCAAGAUGCAGCUAAAGAUUAUUUGGUCCAUUUGUUCGAAGACGGAAUGAUUUGUGCCUUCUAGGCAAAACGUGUUACGCUUAGUAAGU